GAAACGGAUGCCGUUGGCACCUUGAUCUCAGACUUCCAGUCCAUAGAACUCUCUGAGUCCUUGCAUUGUCAGAACAGAGUGAGGGGGAAGAGGAGUCAUUGGAGAAGCCGGGCCAACAGCAUUCCCUCCAUCACUGGGGAUAUGCUCUCCUCCAUGGGGUGGAGGCCACACAGUCACCAUGUUUUGAGGAUGUUCAAGCAGUCCUAAGGAGACAUAUGGUGAGGAGCUGAGACCUGCUGCCAACAACCUGACCUGACACCCACGUGUAGGCUCCAUCUUGGAAGAAGAUUCUCCAGCUCUCCAGACUCCCCAGAUUCUUCAUCCAGUUAAGCAUUCAGAUGCCUUCAUCUCUGGCUGACAGUCUGACUGCAACCUCAAGAGAGGCCCAAGCCAGAAACACGUGAUAAGCUGCUCAUGAAUUCCUAACCCACAAAAAUGGUGUAGGUAAUACAAGCUCUCUAUUGC
This is a long non-coding RNA of Talpa occidentalis (Iberian mole), 465 nucleotides long. RefSeq lists it as uncharacterized. The transcript is spliced from 3 exons. The record is from RefSeq and is a predicted model, not a curated record. NCBI's taxonomy places the organism in Eukaryota, Metazoa, Chordata, Mammalia, Eulipotyphla, Talpidae.